Molecule: small nuclear RNA, 107 nt
Organism: Tursiops truncatus (common bottlenose dolphin)
Lineage: Eukaryota; Metazoa; Chordata; Mammalia; Artiodactyla; Delphinidae
Source: Ensembl
GUGUUUGCUGUGACAGCAUGUAUCCUAAAAUUCUAACAAUUCAGAGAAAAUAAGCAUAGCCCCUGUGCAAAGAUGACACACAACUCCAUGAACUGUUCCAUAUUUUU